CGUGCCUAAUACAUGCAAGUCGAGCGAGCGGAACCAACAGAUUUACUUCGGUAAUGACGUUGGGAAAGCGAGCGGCGGAUGGGUGAGUAACACGUGGGGAACCUGCCCCUAAGUCUGGGAUACCAUUUGGAAACAGGUGCUAAUACCGGAUAAUAAAGCAGAUCGCAUGAUCAGCUUUUGAAAGGCGGCGUAAGCUGUCGCUAAGGGAUGGCCCCGCGGUGCAUUAGCUAGUUGGUAAGGUAACGGCUUACCAAGGCGACGAUGCAUAGCCGAGUUGAGAGACUGAUCGGCCACAUUGGGACUGAGACACGGCCCAAACUCCUACGGGAGGCAGCAGUAGGGAAUCUUCCACAAUGGACGCAAGUCUGAUGGAGCAACGCCGCGUGAGUGAAGAAGGUUUUCGGAUCGUAAAGCUCUGUUGUUGGUGAAGAAGGAUAGAGGUAGUAACUGGCCUUUAUUUGACGGUAAUCAACCAGAAAGUCACGGCUAACUACGUGCCAGCAGCCGCGGUAAUACGUAGGUGGCAAGCGUUGUCCGGAUUUAUUGGGCGUAAAGCGAGCGCAGGCGGAAAAAUAAGUCUAAUGUGAAAGC
Molecule: ribosomal RNA, 591 nt
Filed under: Lactobacillus amylovorus
Lineage: Bacteria; Bacillati; Bacillota; Bacilli; Lactobacillales; Lactobacillaceae
Description: bacterial SSU rRNA
Rfam family: Bacterial small subunit ribosomal RNA
Source: RNAcentral